Molecule: ribosomal RNA, 253 nt
Filed under: uncultured bacterium
Lineage: Bacteria
Description: partial 16S ribosomal RNA
Rfam family: Bacterial small subunit ribosomal RNA
Source: RNAcentral
UACGUAGGGCGCAAGCGUUGUCCGGAAUUAUUGGGCGUAAAGAGCUCGUAGGUGGCUUGUUGCGUCUGCCGUGAAAGCCCGUGGCUUAACUACGGGUCUGCGGUGGAUACGGGCAGGCUAGAGGCUGGUAGGGGCAAGCGGAAUUCCUGGUGUAGCGGUGAAAUGCGCAGAUAUCAGGAGGAACACCGGUGGCGAAGGCGGCUUGCUGGGCCAGUUCUGACGCUGAGGAGCGAAAGCGUGGGGAGCGAUCCGG